This 22-nucleotide microRNA is filed under the name Mus musculus (house mouse). RNAcentral describes it as "mmu-miR-691". Its record names the gene mmu-miR-691. The record is from miRBase by way of RNAcentral. Lineage: Eukaryota; Metazoa; Chordata; Mammalia; Rodentia; Muridae.
AUUCCUGAAGAGAGGCAGAAAA